This 1310-nucleotide ribosomal RNA is filed under the name metagenome. Its description in RNAcentral is "bacterial LSU rRNA". It matches the Rfam family "Bacterial large subunit ribosomal RNA", at positions 1628 to 2925 of the family's 2925-position model. The record is from RNAcentral.
GAGACAUCAUGUACCCGUACCAAAACCGACACAGGUAGGCGGGGAGAGAAUCCUAAGGUGCGCGGGAAAACCCUCGUUAAGGAACUCGGCAAAAUGCAUCCGUAACUUCGGGAGAAGGAUGGCCGGAGCUGGUGAAGAGAUUGACUCUUGGAGCUGGAGCCGGCGGCAGAAGAGAAGCCCAAGCGACUGUUUACCACAAACACAGGUGCCUGCUAAAGAGAAAUCUGACGUAUAGGUGCUGACACCUGCCCGGUGCUGGAAGGUUAAGGAGAGAUGUCAGGAGCAAUCCGAAGCAUUGAACUGAAGCCCCAGUAAACGGCGGCCGUAACAAUAACGGUCCUAAGGUAGCGAAAUUCCUUGUCGGGUAAGUUCCGACCCGCACGAAAGGUGUAACGACUUGGGCACUGUCUCAACGAGGGACCCGGUGAAAUUGAAAUACCUGUGAAGAUGCAGGUUACCCGCGACUGGGCAGAAAGACCCCAUGGAGCUUUACUGCAGCCUGACAUUGAUUUUUGGCAUGUAACGUACAGGAUAGUUGGGAGACGGAGAAGAUAGCCCUCCAGGGUUAUCAGAGUCGCUGUUGGGAUACCAACCUUUAUGUGCUAGGGAUCUAACUCGAGAAGUAACGAAGCUGAGGACAGUAUCAGGUGGGCAGUUUGACUGGGGCGGUCGCCUCCGAAAGAGUAACGGAGGCGUCCAAAGGUUCCCUCAGCGCGGACAGAAAUCGCGCGAAGAGUAUAAAGGCAGAAGGGAGCUUGACUGCGAGACAUACAGGUCGGGCAGGUACGAAAGUAGGGCUUAGUGAUCCGGUGGAAUGAGAGUGGAAUUGCCAUCGCUCAACGGAUAAAAGCUACCCUGGGGAUAACAGGCUAAUCUCUCCCAAGAGUCCAUAUCGACGGGGAGGUUUGGCACCUCGAUGUCGGCUCAUCACAUCCUGGGGCUGAAGCAGGUCCCAAGGGUUGGGCUGUUCGCCCAUUAAAGUGGUACGUGAGCUGGGUUCAGAAUGUCGUGAGACAGUUCGGUCCAUAUCCAUCGCGGGCGUAAGAUACAUGAGGGAGACUGCUCCUAGUACGAGAGGACCGGAGUGGACGGACCGCCGGUGUACCAGUUGUUUCGCCAGAAGCACAGCUGGGUAGCUGCGUCCGGAAGGGAUAAACGCUGAAAGCAUCUAAGCGUGAAGCCCGUCCCGAGAUGAAGUAUCUCAUGUCGUAAGACAGUAAGACACCUUGAAGAAGACAAGGUUGAUAGGGUAGAUGUGGAAGUCCUGCAAGGGAUGAAGCUGACUACUACUAAUAUGUCGAGGGCUUAAC